UUCUGGUGUAACAGACUCCCUGCAUUCUGUCUCCCUGACCUCUGCAAUCUUACUGGGAAGAGAUAGGGUAGAGCUGAAAGUCUAGGGGCAAAACCAUGUUAUAAAGGAUCCAAAAGCUGAGGUAAUAUUUGAUACUUCUUUAAGAAAAGGAAUGCAAAAUCAUGAAGAAGUGGAAAAAAAAGUCACAAUUUUAAAAAGGUGACAAAAUCACAAUAACCAGACAACUUAGAAAGAUAUAUUGCCUGGAGUUGGAACUAUCUUCACAUCAAGAGAAUUAUAGAGACAUUGGCUUUGACAUCACAGGUCUACUAAAACAAUGCUGUCAGCUACCGGACCACUGCCAGACCUGUUCUCCUCCAAUGAUGAGACUUCAGUUAAUUCAGGUAAAAAUUUCAAAUUUUCUAAUUGUUUUUCCAU
Non-coding RNA from Heterocephalus glaber (naked mole-rat), 417 nucleotides. The record is from RefSeq and is a predicted model, not a curated record. NCBI's taxonomy places the organism in Eukaryota, Metazoa, Chordata, Mammalia, Rodentia, Bathyergidae.